AGCGAACGUUAGCGGCGGGCCUAACACAUGCAAGUCGAGCGAGAAAGUGGCUUCGGCCAUCAGUAAAGCGGCGGACGGGUGAGUAACACGUAGGUAAUCUUCCCUUGAGCGGGGGACAACGAGCCGAAAGGCUCGCUAAUACCGCAUAAGUUUCCAGAGACUCUGGUCUUUGGAAGGAAAGCUAGGCCGCAAGGUCCGGCACUCGAGGAGGAGCCUGCGUCGCAUCAGCUAGNGGUGGGGUAAUGGCCUACCAAGGCGAAGACGCGUAGCUGGUCUGAGAGGAUGAUCAGCCACACUGGGACUGAGACACGGCCCAGACUCCUACGGGAGGCAGCAGUGGGGAAUAUUGGACAAGUGGGCGCAAGCCUGAUCCAGCCACGCCGCGUG
Molecule: ribosomal RNA, 387 nt
Filed under: uncultured bacterium
Lineage: Bacteria
Description: bacterial SSU rRNA
Rfam family: Bacterial small subunit ribosomal RNA
Source: RNAcentral